GAUGAAGAACGUAGCGAAAUGCGAUAAGUAAUGCGAAUUGCAGAAUUCCAGUGAGUCAUCGAAUCUUUGAACGCACAUUGCGCCCGCUGGUAUUCCGGCGGGCAUGCCUGUUCGAGCGUCAUUUCAACCCUCAAGCCCCCGGGUUUGGUGUUGGGGAUCGGCUCUGCCCUUCUGGGCGGUGCCGCCCCCGAAAUACAUUGGCGGUCUCGCUGCAGCCUCCAUUGCGUAGUAGCUAACACCUCGCAACUGGAACGCGGCGCGGCCAUGCCGUAAAACCCCAACUUCUGAAUGUUGACCUCGGAUCAGGUAGGAAUACCCGCUGAACUUAAGCAUAUCAAUAAGCGGAGGA
This 349-nucleotide unclassified non-coding RNA is filed under the name soil metagenome. RNAcentral describes it as "partial contains 5.8S ribosomal RNA, internal transcribed spacer 2, and large subunit ribosomal RNA". The stretch from base 1 to 121 matches the Rfam family "5.8S ribosomal RNA", at positions 35 to 154 of the family's 154-position model. The record is from RNAcentral.